Gekko japonicus is the source of this 342-nucleotide long non-coding RNA. RefSeq lists it as uncharacterized. The transcript is spliced from 3 exons. The record is from RefSeq and is a predicted model, not a curated record. NCBI's taxonomy places the organism in Eukaryota, Metazoa, Chordata, Lepidosauria, Squamata, Gekkonidae.
CGAAACACCAAGCCUCCGGAAGAAGGUCGCCAGGUAACCGGAAGAUGCCAGAGACAACAACAACAUUCGGAGCCCGCCGGGAGAAGAGAGAAUGCACUGCCAACAGGGUGCUGAUAGGGAGUCCCUCCCCUUGUGAAAUGUGGCCCUAGCAGUUGGAGGGACCGUGGUCCAGUAAGCCAGUACUUCUGUUUGGUAUAUAACAUUUGUUUUUGGAUUGCCGUGGUCUCAAGAGCUGCCAAUUUUUUCCUUUCCAGAAGUAAUUUUCGGUUAUUGUCUGCCCUAUAAUUGUGCCUCGUAAGACGGCUUUAAAGGCAUCCCAUAUGAGAUGUUGGGAAGUUUCAC